RNAcentral lists this long non-coding RNA (385 nucleotides) under Nicotiana benthamiana. Its description in RNAcentral is "long non-coding RNA (NBEN_LNC040380)". The record is from RNAcentral. Lineage: Eukaryota; Viridiplantae; Streptophyta; Magnoliopsida; Solanales; Solanaceae.
UUGGAAAACAAGAAGAAAAUUUCAAAACAGGCCAUUCAUGUUUUUUAUUAUUAUGUCAAACUGACUGAACUACACAGGUCUGAUUCUCAUCGGAUGUGGGAUACGUACGAAACCUAUAUAGGGUUCGGCCUCAUUUUUGCAAAACUAACCAAAUAAAAUGAAGUGUAGUUAGCGCUCUGGUCAAAACAAUAAGCCGACCCAGCAUUGGUUAUGUCUUAAGCCGUUCUUGCCGAGAUAGGCUCAAAAUAUUUUUCAAUUGUCGGAGUGAUAUUUUUGUAGAGAACGAACAAGUCUGUUAGUGAGGUCAUUUUUUUCCUUGGCCUCAAAAUUUACUUGGAAUUGUAAAUGGACCACAUUUAAAAAAAUAACCACUUUUGUGUAGAUG